Molecule: ribosomal RNA, 253 nt
Filed under: uncultured bacterium
Lineage: Bacteria
Description: partial 16S ribosomal RNA
Rfam family: Bacterial small subunit ribosomal RNA
Source: RNAcentral
UACGUAGGGUGCAAGCGUUAAUCGGAAUUACUGGGCGUAAAGCGUGCGCAGGCGGCUAUGCAAGACAGAUGUGAAAUCCCCGGGCUCAACCUGGGAACUGCAUUUGUGACUGCAUAGCUAGAGUACGGUAGAGGGGGAUGGAAUUCCGCGUGUAGCAGUGAAAUGCGUAGAUAUGCGGAGGAACACCGAUGGCGAAGGCAAUCCCCUGGACCUGUACUGACGCUCAUGCACGAAAGCGUGGGGAGCAAAAGGG